AACGCACAUUGCGCCCACUGGUAUUCCGGUGGGCAUGCCUGUCUGAGCGUCAGUAUAAUCUCAAGCAACCGCUUGGUAUUGGAAGAUGAUCUGCCUAGCAGUUCCCUUCUUAAACUGAUUGGCAAGUUUACAUAGCAGCAAGCGUAGUAGAAAUACCAUCAGCUUAGUUACUCUGUAUAGCUUUGUCAAAAUCAAACUAUUUUUAAGGUUUGACCUCAGAUCAGGUAAGGAUACCCCCUGAACUUAA
RNAcentral lists this unclassified non-coding RNA (247 nucleotides) under uncultured Ascomycota. RNAcentral describes it as "sequence contains ITS2". The stretch from base 1 to 52 matches the Rfam family "5.8S ribosomal RNA", at positions 103 to 154 of the family's 154-position model. The record is from RNAcentral. Lineage: Eukaryota; Fungi; Ascomycota.